GGGGAUGUAGCUCAGUAGUAGAGCAUUUGCCUAGCAUGCAUGGAACUCUGGGUUUAAUCCCCAGUACUGCAA
This 72-nucleotide transfer RNA is filed under the name Heterocephalus glaber (naked mole-rat). It matches the Rfam family "tRNA". From Rfam's summary of the family: Transfer RNA (tRNA) molecules are approximately 80 nucleotides in length. Their secondary structure includes four short double-helical elements and three loops (D, anti-codon, and T loops). Lineage: Eukaryota; Metazoa; Chordata; Mammalia; Rodentia; Bathyergidae. The record is from Rfam by way of RNAcentral.